This 993-nucleotide ribosomal RNA is filed under the name Triticum aestivum (bread wheat). Its description in RNAcentral is "partial small subunit ribosomal RNA". Lineage: Eukaryota; Viridiplantae; Streptophyta; Magnoliopsida; Poales; Poaceae. The record is from RNAcentral.
AUGAAACAGUUAUCUGGUGGGGAGAAGACUGUUGCUGCACUGGCAUUGCUGUUUGCCAUUCACAAUUUCAGGCAAUCACCAUUCUACAUACUGGAUGAAGUCGAUGCAGCUAUGAGAGAGGAGGGGUCGGGAGCGGGAGGUACCAAAGUCCUGUUGGAGAUGAGGCAGGGACGGCCGGCGUGCGGAGCGGAGAGGCGAGGGGGCGACGGGUGGCGGCGGGCGGCGGUGGCGGAGUGGAAGUCGGGGCGGCCGCCGCGGGGAGGGGAGAGGCGGAGGGCCGGCGUCUGGACGGCAGGGGCUGGCGGGGUGGAGACCGGGGGCGGAGGACGGCAGGGGCUGGUGGGGUGGGCGCGUCGCGGCCGCGCUCUCCGGCUGCUACAGCGGUCGGAGGAGGCCCUCGCUCGAUCGAGAGGGUCCCUUGGCAUUGCAAUGUAUGCAGAAAACACCUUGGGUUAUUCCCUAAUUCAGCGACCAAGUGCAUAUCCAUCUUCUCUGUUCGCUUCUUCCCUGAUACAAUUCGCACUGCCGCCGCCUAGGGCAUGUCUCCUGCCGCCGCCGCCGCCGUCGCUGCCUAGGGCAUGCCCCCAUCCACUGUUGCUAGCACAAAUCCAGUGCAACUCGUGCGCGUGCCGAUUCCUUGGCUCAGACCCGGUCAGUUUCAUAGGAGCCGAGAUGGACCUUCCCCCGCCGUCGCUGGAGCCAAACGCGUCGUGGGAGCCGGAGACCCUCGGCAAGGACGAUCAGAUGCCCGCGCUGCGGGAGUCAGUGUCGUUCGGUCGAUUCCUAUCCGAGUCACUCGAAUGGGAUACGAUGGGCCGAUGGGGCAUGUCUUGCCGGCACCGAUGGCUACCAUAUUGCAUGACCAAUCGCUGCCGGCAGCCGGGCUCAAUGAAGAUGUACAGGUCAAUUUCUCGGUGCCGACCACAACGGUCGGAGCUCACUCUGCCUCCAAUUGUAGUGAUGCAUGCAUUGGCGAUUCUGGAGCAGGCGUGA